ACGACAUUGGAGCGCCCCUAGCGCCCCGAUUGUGACGCGACAGCGGCGCGGUCUCCCUGGUCUCGCGUGACCUGGGGCGCCGCCACAGCCUCCCAACAGCCCCAACGGCAGAGGCCCGCGGCCGAGGUCAAGAUGGUGGCUCCGCGGGCAGGGGAGGCGGUGGAGGGAGGAGGAGCCAGGCCUUAGCCAGCCGAGAACACCGACACCCAGAGGCCUCCCGGGAGCCGCCGCCGCCUGCUCCUGCUCGAGAGACGCGAGCGGGCGGCGGGCGGGUCGUGAGAGACCGGGGAGGAGGGGGCGGAGCCGCCGCCUCAGCGCCCGCCCCUGGCCGCCGUCCCGGGCCUGCCCGGCCCUCCCAGCCCCGGUGCGGCAGCGGCUCAUGGCAGCGGUGGGGCCCCCGCAGCAGCAGGUGCGGAUGGCCCAUCAGCAGGCUUGGGCAGCGCUCGAAGUGGCGCUCCGGGUGCCCUGCCUCUACAUCAUCGACGCCAUCUUCAACUCUUACUACGAUUCCAGCCAAAGCCGGUUCUGCAUCGGGCUCCAGAUCGUCCUCCGGCUCCUCGGUAUAUUUGUUUCCAGUAUUGUUCUGAUAUUGUCACAGCGAUCACUUUUCAAGUUUUACAUGUACAGCGCAGCCUUUCUUUUAGCUGCAACUUCAGUGUUGGUAAAUUAUUAUGCUGCUUUGCACAUUGACUUGUAUGGUGCCUACAACACAUCAGCUUUUGGAAUUGAACUCCUCCCUCGGAAAGGGCCCUCACAAUGGAUGGCACUCAUUGUUCUACAGCUGACAUUUGGAAUUGGAUACAUUACACUACUCCAGAUUCAUUCCAUCUAUUCACAAUUAAUUAUUUUGGAUCUGUUGGUACCUGUAAUAGGCUUAAUCACAGAGCUGCCAUUACACAUCCGGGAGACUUUAGUUUUUACCUCUUCCUUGAUUCUUAUAUUAAACACACUGUUCGUCUUGGCAGUGAAACUUAGGUGGUUUUAUUAUUCCACACGGUAUGUUUAUCUCUUAGUGAGGCACAUGUAUCGAAUUUAUGGAUUACAGUUAUUAAUGGAGGACACAUGGAAGAGGAUUCGUUUCCCAGAUAUACUGAGAGUCUUUUGGCUAACAAGAAUUACAGCUCAGGCUACAGUGUUAAUGUACAUUUUAAGGAUGGCAAAUGAAACUGAUUCCUUCUUUAUUUCUUGGGAUGACUUCUGGGACCUCAUUUGCAAUCUUAUAAUUAGUGGAUGUGAUUCUACACUAACUGUGCUGGGCAUGAGUGCUGUAAUUUCUUCAAUAGCCCAUUAUUUGGGCCUUGGAAUAUUGGCCUUUAUUGGAUCAACUGAAGACGACGACAGGAGACUUGGCUUUGUAGCACCUGUUUUGUUUUUUAUUUUGGCUCUUCAGACUGGUUUAAGUGGGCUAAGACCAGAAGAGAGACUUAUUCGCCUAAGUAGAAACAUGUGCCUUUUAUUAACUGCAGUCCUGCAUUUCAUCCAUGGAAUGACAGACCCCGUAUUAAUGUCUCUCAGUGCCUCUCACGUGUCAUCUUUUCGUAGACAUUUUCCUGUGCUCUUUGUCUCUGCUUGCCUGUUUAUUCUUCCUGUUUUACUCAGUUAUGUUCUUUGGCAUCACUAUGCACUAAACACAUGGCUGUUUGCCGUUACAGCCUUCUGUGUGGAACUCUGCUUAAAAGUAAUUGUUUCUCUCACUGUUUAUACGUUAUUCAUGAUUGAUGGCUACUAUAAUGUCCUCUGGGAAAAGCUUGAUGAUUAUGUCUACUAUGUUCGUUCAACAGGCAAUAUUAUUGAAUUUAUAUUUGGAGUAGUAAUGUUUGGAAAUGGGGCCUAUACUAUGAUGUUUGAGUCAGGAAGUAAAAUUCGGGCUUGUAUGAUGUGUCUACAUGCGUAUUUUAACAUCUACUUACAAGCAAAAAAUGGCUGGAAGACAUUCAUGAAUCGUAGGACUGCUGUUAAGAAAAUUAAUUCACUUCCUGAAAUAAAAGGGGACCGUUUACAAGAAAUAGAUGAUGUCUGUGCAAUCUGCUAUCAUGAGUUUACUACAUCUGCUCGUCUCACACCAUGUAAUCAUUAUUUCCAUGCACUUUGCCUUCGGAAAUGGCUGUACAUUCAAGAUACUUGUCCAAUGUGUCAUCAAAAAGUAUACAUUGAAGAUGAUAUCAAGGAUAAUUCAAAUAUACCUAACAACAGCGGAUUUAUUGCACCUAAUGAAAAUGCAGAGGAAGCUGUAAGAGAGGCUGCUGCCGCCGAAUCUGACAGGGACUUGAAUGAAGAUGACAGUACAGAUUUUGAUGAUGAUGUUCAAACAGAAAGAAAUGGAGUGAUUCAGAAUACAGGUACAGCAGCUGAAGAAUUUAAUGAGGACACUGACUGAUUAAACAGCAUUUACUAAUCAUUGAGGUUAUUUGUUCAAAAUUCAGUUCAUCCAAAAUGGAGUUAAUAUGCUUCACUUCAUUGUGUAACCAAGCACAGAAACAGUCAAUGUUGAAUCUGUGAAUGGUUUUCCGUUUACUGUGAUGUGCUACUGUAAAUAUACCUCUUUAAUUACUUCUGGUCUCUUUGGUGACCUAUUUAAAUUUGUGUACAUUAUUGUACAUAGAAUAAAAUGUUUUCACGUUUUUAUGACAAAAUUUGAACAAAUAGCUUUUUAAUAGAUGUAACAAUAAUACGGUGCGCCAACUGUGCCAAAGAUUCCUAAAUGAAAGUGUAUAAUGCAUCUAAUUCUGGCCCCCUAGUGUUUCUUUAAGAUAGGCGGGAGAAUGAAAGUGCAAAAUCAGAGGAAACCACAUUAAAUCAAGGAAAUAAAAUAAUGUGGACCAGAGGAUAAGAGAUAUUUUAUGAACUAAGGAAAUAGUAGGCUGCCAGAACUGAUUGAGACUUUUUUGAAAUUUGAGAGUAGCACUGUAGUUGAGCUGAGUUCAAAAGUCAAGAUUUGGAUAUUGUGAGUUGAGAAAUAUAUCAGGUAUGUAUAUAUCUGGUAUGAACCAGAAUAUGUUUAAUUUUGAUGUAAAAAUUAGUAUAUUUGUUAGUCAUUCUGUGUUUGCAGCAUUGACAUAAUAUUGUCCUUUUAGACUUUUGAAGAGGUUACAAAAUUAAUACUUGGUGACCUCCAUUCUUUUAAGUGACAUUAAAAAAUAUCCCUGGCUUUAUGGAUAAAAAUAAGGGAGAUGGUUGUGCAGUGAUGCAUAAUAUCUCUUUAGACAAGUUCCAGAGAAUUCCUUUAUUGAAACUAAGUUUUACCAUGAAAUUUCAUACAUGAUGGAAAACACAUAGCAAUUACAUAUCAGGAAAAAAUACUUUAAUGGUAUUGUUAUAUAGCUCAUUGGCUAAUUCCAGUGGAUCCUCAUCUCUUACUGCUGCCAUUAUCUCCAGUAUUUGACUAAAACAAAACAAAAAUAGAUGGUUUAAAUUUCCAAGUACAUAUUCAUGUUUUAAAUUUAUCUUUUUCCACAUAAAGGAUGAUACUAGCACUUUUAAUAAGCUUAAACGGGUAUUCAAGUUUUCAGCACUAUCAGAAAGUUUAACUGCUAGGAUAUUUAAAAUAAGAGUAGAGAUUUUUGUAGUAGUUCUGUAUAUAACUAGAGCCAAAAAUCUAGUUUUAAAUAAAUUAUAAAGGUGGCCUAUAUUAUGUGUACCUUAAUUAGGGAAUUAACCUGGUAGAAAUGAGUCCUUUUAAACUGUAGGUCACAGUAAGCUUUUAAAAAAUUGCAAUUUACAAAAGUACAAUACAUGUAGACAAGUACUAUUUCAUUUAUGUAUGUACAUGUGUAAUGCAUCAAUGUAAGCUGUAGCCAUUGGGACAGCCAUCAAAGUUUGAAAACCACUGCUUAGAAAACUAAUACUAAAGAAUAGCAAAAAAAAUUGUGGCAUGAUCACUAGCACAAUGAAAGCAAAGGAAGUUAUAAGUUAUUUACUCAGAAUAAUGUGUUUGGGUAGCCAUAGAAAGAAUAGCCCAGCUGCUGUUCUUUCAGUUUCUCUACAAUUAUCAGUAAUGUUUUCUAGCAUUCUUAUAUAUUGAUAGAAUAUUUUUAUACGUGAAUUAUAAAGUUUUAAAGUAAAAUUUAAACAUUUAAAUAGUCUUUGUCUUAAGCUUUUUGUUCCUCUUUUAUCAGUUUCUUAAAUAUAAAACACCUAAUAGUAUUAGGGAUGGAGAUUAAAGAUUAAUUGGAACUUUUUUAUUCUGUAAAAGUAGCAUAAAAUGCUUGCUUAAUUUGUAUACUAAAUAACUAUACUAAAAUUUUGUUCUGUAUCUGACAGUCAAAAAUAUACUGAAAGUAAAUCUGUUAAUAUUUAAAUUGACAUUACAAAUCCAAUUUUUUUUUUUUAUAAACUGCAGAAUUUUCCUCUAUUAAACUAUUUGGAAUAGGAACUUGCAUAAUACUGUGCAGAACAGAUUCUUGAUAUCCUUCCCCCUUCCAGUCCUUUCUCCACCCUGAUACUUUACAGCUUAAGAAAAAAGCUGCUAUUUUUCCAUUUAAAAUACUUUCGGUCCCGAUAAAAUCUAGACUAAAAUUGGCAUAGAAGAGUCCUCACAAUCUGGCCUCACUCUACCUUCCCAGACUGAUCAUUUACUCGUGCAUCCUACUUUCUGCCACACUAACUCACUGUUCCCCUGGAGCAGCUAAGUCCUCUUACAUUCUGCCUCUGCUCAGUGUGUUUCUCUUAGUCUGGCAUAUUUCCCAGCUAGUAAACAGUGGAAAUGUCACCUUAGUUCUCUUAUUUCCCCUUAAGGCAGGCAGUUGCUAUGUCCUAUGGUCCCAGUCACAUAGUCAUACCUCUUUACCACCACUACCAUCUAGAAUUAAACUUUUUAUGUGCUUGUUUGUUCCAGAGGGAAGGAAUCCUCAUCUGACUUGAUUAGUGCCUUAUCCAAAGUGCCUGGCACAAGGUAUCUACGCACUGGUGGAUAGAUGAGGGAAGGGACUGCCCGCAUUCUUCUGCAUAGCCUCAGUAAAAUGGCAUAGGGCAAGACCUCCAAAAUGUUUCAAGGAAUUUAUUUAGAAGGGAGGUCUCUAUACAAAUAAAACAAAGAACUGUUAAUAGAUGAAAUUUGAUUAAAAUGACUCUGUAAGUAGAAAUUUUAACUUACUAAUUAGUAAUUAUACUGUGGCAUGUGUUUCUGAAGUGUGGCUUAAGUUUUUCAGUUUGCAAAUGUUGAUUUCCCAAGCUCUGCAUAUUCAGAACUGGUAUUCAUGACUGUAGUUGUUAAUUAAGCACUUUCAGUUCUUAACUGUCUGCAUUUAGAAACAGGUUACGAUUUUGUCUUAUAAAGUCAACAGGUACACUUAGCAGUAGGUAGUAUAGGAAAUGGAGUAUAGAUUGCAUUUUUAUAACCAUCAACAGGAAGCUUCAUGAGAACAGAACUUAAACCAGGUAAGGUGUGUUGUAUUCUGACUGAAUCUGCAAGAAUGUACAAUUCAGGAAAAUUACAAGUGAUUCCUAACUAAACAGAAUUUAUAUAUAUUCCUCACCCAGGGGUUUUUAAACAGUUAAUUUCUGAAGUCUUUGCCAACACUAGCACAUUUAAUAAAGAAAAAAAUCUUUCCAAUAUGUUUUGAUAGAAUAAUUCACUUUUCUGAAUUUAGCUCUGGCUUACUUAAAACUCUUAUCUGUUAAAAACUACUUGG
Pipistrellus kuhlii (Kuhl's pipistrelle) is the source of this 5630-nucleotide RNA transcript. It is a transcript of the gene named tRNA methyltransferase 12 homolog, with no coding region annotated. The transcript has 3 exons. The record is from RefSeq and is a predicted model, not a curated record. Lineage: Eukaryota; Metazoa; Chordata; Mammalia; Chiroptera; Vespertilionidae.